AUCAGGUUAAAUGACAAAAAGGUAAAGAAUCCUUUCUGAGGGGUUUAACCACAUAAACCGCUAAGUAAAAUAUUUAUAAUGACAAUAUUUUAUAUAUCAGUCUUGACAAAAUCACGUGCCAGCAGUCGCGGUAAUACGGGGGAGACGAGUGUUAUUCAUCUUUAGUAGGUUUAAAGGGUACCUAGACGGCAUAUUUAACUUUGAUAGAGUAAAAAUGAGCUAGAGUUUUAUAAGAGGGGUAUAGUUCAGUACUGAUGGAGUAGAGAUAAAAUGCUUUGAUACUAUUAGGAACUGGUGACGGCGAAGGCAGACCCUUAUGUAAAAACUGACGUUGAGGGACGAAGGCUAAGGUAAUGAAUAGGAUUAGAUACCCUAGUAGUCUUUGCAGACAAUUAUGAGUGUCAUAGAUUAAAUUAUAUUUGGUUUAUAAAUGAAAAUGUAAGCACUCCACCUCAAGAGUAAUGUGGCAACGCAGGAACUGAAAUCAUUAGACCGUGUCUGAAACCAGUAGUGAAGUAUGUUAUUUAAUUCGAUAGCCCGCGAAAAACCUUACCAUAGUUUGAAUAUAAUAGUAAUUAUUAUUUCUUUUUAAAAAGGGGUAUAAUUAUCUAUUAUACAAGUGCUGCAUGGCUGUCUUCAGUUGGUGUCGUGAGAUGCAGGUUAGCUCCUAGAAUCAACGAAAUCCCUUACAUUUAUUUCUUUUUGAUAAUGUAGUUAUCUGGCUUAUCGGCUGUUAUAAAAG
RNAcentral lists this ribosomal RNA (742 nucleotides) under Arthonia picea. RNAcentral describes it as "mitochondrial SSU rRNA". It matches the Rfam family "Bacterial small subunit ribosomal RNA", at positions 386 to 1163 of the family's 1533-position model. The record is from RNAcentral. Lineage: Eukaryota; Fungi; Ascomycota; Arthoniomycetes; Arthoniales; Arthoniaceae.